This 334-nucleotide unclassified non-coding RNA is filed under the name uncultured Orbiliales. Its description in RNAcentral is "sequence contains ITS1". The stretch from base 1 to 105 matches the Rfam family "5.8S ribosomal RNA", at positions 50 to 154 of the family's 154-position model. The record is from RNAcentral. Lineage: Eukaryota; Fungi; Ascomycota; Orbiliomycetes; Orbiliales.
GAAACGCGAUAGGUAAUGUGAAUUGCAGAAUUCCGUGAAUCAUCGAAUCUUUGAACGCACAUUGCGCCUGCUGGUAUUCCGGUAGGCAUGCCUGUUUGAGCGUCAGCAAAACCUCUCAGUGAUAAUUUUUUAUUGUUGGUUAUGGGCGAAGAGUAUGGCCUUUAGUCACUCUUCCCUUAAAACUCGCCGCAUGGCCGCAAGCUUAUGCUAGGUUAAUGGAGUGGUGUUUACAAUAUUCCAGCCACCAGUAAAGCGAACAGCGUUAAAAUCAGAUGUUGCUUUACCGCAACUGAAGUUUGACCUCAAAUCAGACAAGGAUACCCGCUGAACUUAA